RNAcentral lists this ribosomal RNA (995 nucleotides) under uncultured bacterium. RNAcentral describes it as "bacterial SSU rRNA". It matches the Rfam family "Bacterial small subunit ribosomal RNA", at positions 356 to 1376 of the family's 1533-position model. The record is from RNAcentral.
GGGGAAUAUUGCACAAUGGGGGAAACCCUGAUGCAGCGACGCCGCGUGGAGGAAGAAGGUCUUCGGAUUGUAAACUCCUGUUGUUGAGGAAGAUAAUGACGGUACUCAACAAGGAAGUGACGGCUAACUACGUGCCAGCAGCCGCGGUAAAACGUAGGUCACAAGCGUUGUCCGGAAUUACUGGGUGUAAAGGGAGCGCAGGCGGGAAGACAAGUUGGAAGUGAAAUCCAUGGGCUCAACCCAUGAACUGCUUUCAAAACUGUUUUUCUUGAGUAGUGCAGAGGUAGGCGGAAUUCCCGGUGUAGCGGUGGAAUGCGUAGAUAUCGGGAGGAACACCAGUGGCGAAGGCGGCCUACUGGGCACCAACUGACGCUGAGGCUCGAAAGUGUGGGUAGCAAACAGGAUUAGAUACCCUGGUAGUCCACACUGUAAACGAUGAUUACUAGGUGUUGGAGGAUUGACCCCUUCAGUGCCGCAGUUAACACAAUAAGUAAUCCACCUGGGGAGUACGACCGCAAGGUUGAAACUCAAAGGAAUUGACGGGGGCCCGCACAAGCAGUGGAGUAUGUGGUUUAAUUCGACGCAACGCGAAGAACCUUACCAAGUCUUGACAUCCUGCGACGGUGCUGGAAACAGAACUUUCCUUCGGGACGCAGAGACAGGUGGUGCAUGGUUGUCGUCAGCUCGUGUCGUGAGAUGUUGGGUUAAGUCCCGCAACGAGCGCAACCCUUAUGGUCAGUUACUACGCAAGAGGACUCUGGCCAGACUGCCGUUGACAAAACGGAGGAAGGUGGGGAUGACGUCAAAUCAUCAUGCCCUUUAUGACUUGGGCUACACACGUACUACAAUGGCGUUAAACAAAGAGAAGCAAGACCGCGAGGUGGAGCAAAACUCAGAAACAACGUCCCAGUUCGGAUUGUAGUCUGCAACUCGACUACAUGAAGCUGGAAUCGCUAGUAAUCGCGAAUCAGAAUGUCGCGGUGAAUACGUUCCCG